RNAcentral lists this ribosomal RNA (417 nucleotides) under uncultured bacterium. Its description in RNAcentral is "bacterial SSU rRNA". It matches the Rfam family "Bacterial small subunit ribosomal RNA", at positions 355 to 786 of the family's 1533-position model. The record is from RNAcentral.
UGGGGAAUAUUGGGCAAUGGGCGCAAGCCUGACCCAGCAACGCCGCGUGAAGGAAGAAGGCUUUCGGGUUGUAAACUUCUUUUAAGAGGGACGAAAAAAGUGACGGUACCUCUUGAAUAAGCCACGGCUAACUACGUGCCAGCAGCCGCGGUAAUACGUAGGUGGCGAGCGUUAUCCGGAUUUACUGGGUGUAAAGGGCGUGUAGGCGGGACUGCAAGUCAGGCGUGAAAACUGGGGGCUCAACCUCCAGCCUGCGUUUGAAACUGUAGUUCUUGAGUGAUGGAGAGGCAAGCGGAAUUCCGUGUGUAGCGGUGAAAUGCGUAGAUAUACGGAGGAACACCAGUGGCGAAGGCGGCUUGCUGGACAUUAACUGACGCUGAGGCGCGAAAGCGUGGGGAGCAAACAGGAUUAGAUACC